RNAcentral lists this unclassified non-coding RNA (333 nucleotides) under uncultured bacterium. RNAcentral describes it as "contains 16S-23S intergenic spacer region". The record is from RNAcentral.
UCCGGUUUGGCAGCGAGGGUUGCGCUCGUUGCGGGACUUAACCCAACACCUCACGGCACGAGCUGACGACAGCCAUGCAGCAUCUGUGCACGCUCCCUUGCGGGUCCUUCCCCUUUCGGGGUCGUACCACGUGCAUGUCAAGCCCAGGUAAGGUUCUUCGCGUUGCGUCGAAUUAAACCACAUGCUCCGCUGCUUGUGCGGGUCCCCGUCAAUUCCUUUGAGUUUUAGCCUUGCGGCCGUACUCCCCAGGCGGGGCACUUAAUGCGUUAGCUUCGGCACAGGAGGAGUCGACACCUCCCACACCUAGUGCCCAUCGUUUACAGCGUGGACUAC